Molecule: small nuclear RNA, 117 nt
Filed under: Naematelia encephala
Lineage: Eukaryota; Fungi; Basidiomycota; Tremellomycetes; Tremellales; Naemateliaceae
Description: Tremella encephala U5 spliceosomal RNA
Rfam family: U5 spliceosomal RNA
About the family: U5 RNA is a component of both types of known spliceosome.
Source: Rfam by way of RNAcentral
AGCGACUGGGUCAGUGGCAAUCAUCGAAUUUGCUCCUCGCCUUUUACUAGAAGCAACCGUGUUUCUGGCCCAUCAGGUCGCGUUCAAUUUGUUCCUAAACCCUUUCUUCGUGGGCCA